This 796-nucleotide ribosomal RNA is filed under the name uncultured bacterium. RNAcentral's name for it is "bacterial SSU rRNA". It matches the Rfam family "Bacterial small subunit ribosomal RNA", at positions 1 to 787 of the family's 1533-position model. The record is from RNAcentral.
UAGAGUUUGAUCAUGGCUCAGGAUGAACGCUGGCGGCGUGCUUAAUACAUGCAAGUCGAACGAAGCACCUCUCCCGUUGAUUGACCUAGCUUGCUAGAGAUUGAAACAAUUGAGGUGACUGAGUGGCGGGCGGGUGAGUAACGCGUGGGUAACCUGCCUUGUACAGGGGGAUAACAGUUGGAAACGACUGCUAAUACCGCAUAAGCGCACAGUAUCGCAUGAUACAGUGUGAAAAACUCCGGUGGUACAAGAUGGACCCGCGUCUGAUUAGCUAGUUGGAGGGGUAACGGCCCACCAAGGCAACGAUCAGUAGCCGACUUGAGAGAGUGAUCGGCCACAUUGGGACUGAGACACGGCCCAAACUCCUACGGGAGGCAGCAGUAGGGAAUAUUGCACAAUGGGGGAAACCCUGAUGCAGCGACGCCGCGUGAAGGAUGAAGUAUUUCGGUAUGUAAACUUCUAUCAGCAAGGAAGAAAAUGACGGUACUUGACUAAGAAGCCCCGGCUAAAUACGUGCCAGCAGCCGCGGUAAUACGUAUGGGGCAAGCGUUAUCCGGAUUUACUGGGUGUAAAGGGAGCGUAGGCGGUACGGCAAGUCAGAAGUGAAAGCCUGGGGCUCAACCCCGGAAUUGCUUUUGAAACUGUCGAACUAGAGUGUCGGAGGGGUAAGCGGAAUUCCUAGUGUAGCGGUGAAAUGCGUAGAUAUUAGGAGGAACACCGGUGGCGAAGGCGGCUUACUGGACGACCACUGACGCUGAGGCUCGAAAGCGUGGGGAUCGAACAGGAUUAGAUACCC